GAUGAACGCUGGCGGCGUGCCUAAUACAUGCAAGUAGAACGCUGAAGGGGGAGCUUGCUCUUCUGGAUGAGUUGCGAACGGGUGAGUAACGCGUAGGUAACCUGCCUGGUAGCGGGGGAUAACUAUUGGAAACGAUAGCUAAUACCGCAUGACAACAGCUAUUGCAUGAUAACUGUUUAAAAGGGGCAACUGCUCCACUACCAGAUGGACCUGCGUUGUAUUAGCUAGUUGGUGAGGUAACGGCUCACCAAGGCGACGAUACAUAGCCGACCUGAGAGGGUGAUCAGCCACACUGGGACUGAGACACGGCCCAGACGCCUACAGGAGGCAGCAGUAGGGAAUCUUCAGCAAUGGGCGGAAGUCUGACCGAGCAACGCCGCAUGAGUGAGGAAGGUUUUCGGGUCGUAGAGCUCUGUUGUAGGAGAAGAACGAGUGUGAGAGUGGGAAGUUCACACUGUGACGGUAUCUGACCAGGAAGCGACGGCUAACUACGUG
Molecule: ribosomal RNA, 495 nt
Filed under: uncultured bacterium
Lineage: Bacteria
Description: partial 16S ribosomal RNA
Rfam family: Bacterial small subunit ribosomal RNA
Source: RNAcentral